CCAAUGCCUUCGCCGCCGGCCGGUGCACCGCCUGUGCGGUCGCCCUAGCAGAAUCCCCAUCCGUCAUACCAACCCCGUGUCCCCAAUCGCGAUUUUGUGUUGGAAGUCUGGAACCCUACCGCCGCUUCUCCUGCCUGCGUCCCUCGGCAGCUGGUCUACGUCUGUCCGCUCCUACUCGCCGGCGGCAAGAUUCGUCAAUACUCGGGAGCGGCAUCUCUUCGUUUGUGAUGGUCAGGGGAUCUACGCCUGGGCGUAGUUCGCUUGGUGGUUAUCCAGGAAAAAGUAGAGGAGAGGCGGCGGCCGGAAGCGUUCUCAGCGACAACAAGACAUCACCGGCGGGGCGGCCGUCCGCCACCGUGGAGGAUAUGCACCUCCACCGGCCUCCCUGCCCCCGUAUGAGCUCCUCUUUGCUCGACCACCCUCUGCCCGAGCUCUCCCCGGCCGACCCCUUCCCUGCCGCGGGAUGCCCUUUCCAAGCUCCUCUGUGCGCGGCGGCUGUGGCGGUGGUCAAUCCUCCUCCAGUGUUGCGCCCAUCUCAGAGAUGCUCCGGCUCCCGUACACAUCCUAACCUGGGCGGCGGCCCACCCUCUCCAUGGUCUCCGUGCACGGCUCUUCACGCCGGCGCGAGUUGCAGCAGGCCGCUGACCCGGUUCUGGAGCUUGACGAUGCAGACAUCAUAUGGGGCGCAGGAGGGGCGGUGGCAUACCGUGGGGGUGCUAUUGGAGCUAUGCCUGCUUGCCAUCUUGCCGACGCUAGACGAAGACGGCAUCGAUUGGAUCGACCAAGGUUCCGUACUCCAUCCCCUCCCAGGUCCCAGCAACCAGCAUGUUCUUUUACUUCCUACUAGAGGCGAGGACAUGACUUCAUUUGGUCUGAACUAGAGAUGCACUUUGGAAUUGGUCGACAGCUAUGUAUAAUAUAUACAGCCUAAGUACAUUUCUUAAUUUUUAAAUCUGGCCGCAUGCUGAUGGUCCAUACAGUUCGGUACUCCUGCGGUCCUGCCAUAUUAACUAUUUCAGUUUUCAUUUAUUUCCUAGACUUCUUCUGCCAUGUUAUUUUCGAACUUUUUACUUCAUUUCAAACAAUUGCUUGCUUAGUAUAUAUUAGGAUGAAGCUGUGGAGGUAGGUUUAUUAUCAUGCUAUUUAAAUAUGCUUCUUUCUUGAUAUAUUUGUUCCUACAUAACGGAGGAUAUGCAGAGCUAGCUUGAUAUUGCAGGUAUAUAAGGAGCACAAUCAGUUUGAUGGUGUAAAAGUUAAAGCAGGUUACCUCUGUAUUUCUGUGUCCUGAUAGGUCCUGAGUUCGAAUCGUGGGUGUUAUUUUUAGGAAACAUGCUAAUAGAGGUAUGCUAAUCAGGGCUUCUCACUUUUAAGCAGCGAUUUUUGCGGCGCUCAUCUGCUAUUCUAUCUGGUGCCCGAUUGUAGUAAUAUAAUAGGGUGUUGAGUGCAAAUUGAUAGAUAUUUCCGGUCUGAAGUUUAUUUCAUGCCUGUUUGCUAAUAUUUCUGUUUCGUCAUUAACUCAUUUUUGGAGCUAGGAAAUGUGAGCCCAGAUACAAGUUUUGCUUGCUUCCAUGAAUAUCGUUGUGCGGGUGAGUACAACUGCAGUCAGGGUCCAUUCACAUCAAAGGUGGGAUAUUAGGAUCGAUGAAUAUUGGUCUUUCCGGCAAAGUUUGUAUACUUUAUAAAUUGCUUAGGUUAAAGGAUAAUGCCAACUAAGAUCAUCAGGUACCAUUAUCAGCAACUGCAAAUGCAACAAAAUGGAAAUUACAUGAUUGCUCUCACAGUCUCACUUGAAUACAAGAAAAUGGUGCAUUUUCGUAUUGCGGAGAUCAGAUGGUCCAUGUCUUCUUUUGCUAUUUAUUUGUGGCUUGCACUGAACCUUAAUGUGAUAGCGAUGGUUGAUGUAGAGUUAUCGGUGGUAUAUGAUGGAAGCUAGCUUCGGAACACACACACUUUGUACUCUGUACCGAAGGUUUUUGUAAUGGCAUGUUUAGUUUGUACAUGCAUAACAUUAUGUAAUGAGUUUGUGUUGUUUAAUCGUUCAUUACUGCACAGACGGUGCAACCAAUGGAGCUAACUUGAAGAAUAAUGAUGUUUGCUUCCAAUUAUUACAUCUACAGGAUGAACCGCCUUCUUUUCCGUAAAGUUUGCAGCCGCCUCUUCCCCAAGUUCAUGCUGGAUGGCCGUGCUUGCCUGCCCCCUGCGUCACACUCGCCUACCACCCUACUGCGGGUCUAGCUUGACCACAAGCUAGAGCGGCAAGUUGUAGGGGCUCAACGACGACUAUGAGGGGUAUCGCAAAGGGGUCAUGCCCUCUCACUUUGCCAAGGUGGGACACCAGGCGCGUGGAGGGAGAUGGCCAGUUUCCAUGGGAAGCGACACCACCGCCAUUGCAUCACAUGCUAAAACACCUGCAAGUGUCGGAAUUUUCAUUGAUUACUUUCACAAGAAACAUUACAGCAUUGAUUGCAAAAGUUAUAGUAAAUAACUACAUAUGGUGGUAGGCCUAGGCAAAA
Long non-coding RNA from Lolium perenne, 2513 nucleotides. RefSeq lists it as uncharacterized. The record is from RefSeq and is a predicted model, not a curated record. NCBI's taxonomy places the organism in Eukaryota, Viridiplantae, Streptophyta, Magnoliopsida, Poales, Poaceae.